Molecule: unclassified non-coding RNA, 550 nt
Filed under: Hevea brasiliensis (rubber tree)
Lineage: Eukaryota; Viridiplantae; Streptophyta; Magnoliopsida; Malpighiales; Euphorbiaceae
Source: RNAcentral
AGACAACCCAUUAAAUUGGCGAUAAAUUCAGUAAGGAAACAAUUCCGAGCAACUCAGAACAUCCGUGAAAACAUAGAAUACAGCAACAGCAGGAUGGAAAGAAUUACAGGCUGCAACGUUACUAGCAUAGAAUACAACCACACAACACAACCAUCUUAUUUUUAAGACUAUAGCCCCCUAUGCAUGCUUAUACUUCAUAUAUUUAACGUUAAAGCUCCCCAUCCCACAGCUCUUCAAUAGACUUGAAUGGCCCAUCAGGCGAGAUAAAUUCCUCUUUAAGCAUGAUUCUUUGCUGUGGUAUUUGACUGAUCUUUUCCUUAUCUUCCUUUGUCAGUGCCCAAUCAAAUAUCUCCAUAUUCUCCAUUAGCCUUGCCUUUUUAUAGCUCUUUACUACAAGAGUUGCCCCUUGCUCAAUUAUCCAUCUCAGAGCCACCUGUGCAACAGUCUUCCCAUGCUUCUCUGCUAUUUCUUUCAGCACUUGAUUGUCCAUAACAAGAUUGCUGCCCCAGUUGGCACCAUUUGCUCCCAAAGGAGAGAAAGCAGUCACUAU